UACGUAGGGUGCGAGCGUUAAUCGGAAUUACUGGGCGUAAAGUGUGCGCAGGUGGCUGAGCAAGUCGAGUGUGAAAUCCCCGGGCUUAACUUGGGAAUUGCGCUCGAAACUACUUAGCUCGAGUGUGGCAGAGGAAGGUGGAAUUCCAGGUGUAGCGGUGAAAUGCGUAGAGAUCUGGAGGAACACCGAUGGCGAAGGCAGCCUUCUGGGCCAACACUGACACUCAUGCACGAAAGCGUGGGGAGCAAACAGG
This 253-nucleotide ribosomal RNA is filed under the name uncultured bacterium. RNAcentral describes it as "partial 16S ribosomal RNA". It matches the Rfam family "Bacterial small subunit ribosomal RNA", at positions 524 to 776 of the family's 1533-position model. The record is from RNAcentral.